This 483-nucleotide ribosomal RNA is filed under the name uncultured bacterium. RNAcentral's name for it is "bacterial SSU rRNA". It matches the Rfam family "Bacterial small subunit ribosomal RNA", at positions 338 to 814 of the family's 1533-position model. The record is from RNAcentral.
CCUACGGGAGGCAGCAGUGGGGAAUCUUGGACAAUGCGGCCAAGCGUGAUCCAGCCCUGCCGCGUGCAGGAUGAAGCCCUUCGGGUUGUAAAAUGCUUUUGUUCGGAACGAAAUGACUCUUUUUAAUAAGGGGGGUUAAUGACGGUACCGGAAGAAUAAGCCCCGGCUAACUUCGUCCAGCAGCCGCGGUAAUACGUAGGGUGCAAGCGUUAAUCGGAAUUACUGGGCGUAAAGCGUGCGCAGGCGGUUAUAUAAGUCAGAUGUGAAAUCCCCGGGCUCAACCUGGGAAUUGCAUUUGUGACUGCAUGUCUAGAGUACGGCAGAGGGGGGUGGAAUUCCGCGUGUAGCAGUGAAAUUCGUAGAUAUUCGGAGGAACACCGAUGGCGAAGGCAAUCCCCUGGUCCUGUACUGACGCUCAUGCACGAAAGCGUGGGGAGCAAACAGGAUUAGAUACCCUGGUAGUCCACGCCCUAAACGAUGUCA